CCUAAGGUAGCGAAAUUCCUUGUCGGGUAAGUUCCGACCCGCACGAAAGGCGUAACGAUUUGGGCACUGUCUCAACGAGAGACUCGGUGAAAUCAUAGUACCUGUGAAGAUGCAGGUUACCCGCGACAGGACGGAAAGACCCCGUGGAGCUUUACUGUAGCCUGAUAUUGAAAUUCGGCACAGCUUGUACAGGAUAGGUAGGAGCCUUUGAAACGUGAGCGCUAGCUUACGUGGAGGCGCUGGUGGGAUACUACCCUAGCUGUGUUGGCUUUCUAACCCGCACCACUUAUCGUGGUGGGAGACAGUGUCAGGCGGGCAGUUUGACUGGGGCGGUCGCCUCCUAAAAGGUAACGGAGGCGCUCAAAGGUUCCCUCAGAAUGGUUGGAAAUCAUUCAUAGAGUGUAAAGGCAUAAGGGAGCUUGACUGCGAGACCUACAAGUCGAGCAGGGUCGAAAGACGGACUUAGUGAUCCGGUG
This 476-nucleotide ribosomal RNA is filed under the name Staphylococcus aureus. RNAcentral's name for it is "bacterial LSU rRNA". It matches the Rfam family "Bacterial large subunit ribosomal RNA", at positions 1950 to 2425 of the family's 2925-position model. The record is from RNAcentral. Lineage: Bacteria; Bacillati; Bacillota; Bacilli; Caryophanales; Staphylococcaceae.